Molecule: non-coding RNA, 873 nt
Organism: Monodelphis domestica (gray short-tailed opossum)
Lineage: Eukaryota; Metazoa; Chordata; Mammalia; Didelphimorphia; Didelphidae
Source: RefSeq, a predicted model, not a curated record
UUUAAAAUCUCCAUCUUGCUUGGUCUAGCACCCAAAAUUGUGCACACCCACACUACACGGGCAUGUGCUAGUCAAUGACAAAUCAGAAAUAACUAACUGCCCAUGGGCUGUCCUAAGCCAAGCUUGAGUCACCAUUGGCACUUGUGAGGCACAGGAAGUGAGGUAGGGAACAGCCUCUGGAAUUCACUCACUUCCUGUGGAGAGAGCUAGGCAGCAGUUCAUGCUAGGAGCUUCAGCAGGGAGGAGGCCUGCAGACAGCUUUCCUUCAGAUCCAUCACGUCCCUGUUCAGGCACCACCUGUAGAGCCUGAUGGAUACUGAUCACACAGAUUAUUGAAUGGUCCCAAAGAGAAGGUGGGGGAGAUGAGAAAUAUACUUGGGACCAAGAGGACAAGAGACAAGCUGAUUGCAAAUCAAUGAAUCUUUCAAGAGGUGGUAGGGUGCCUCUCCUUGGAGAUCUUCACACAGGAGCUAGAUGACCACUUGUUCAUUCACAUAUUCUGUGGUCCUGCGUUAUCUCCAUUUGAUUCAGCAAAUGUUCAUCAAGUGCUGACUACGUACAAGGCACCAUCCUAAGCAAUGAGAUGAGGAACUAAGGCAAGCAGGGUUAAAUGACUUGCCCAGAGUCACACAUCUAGUAAGUAUCUGAGACUGGAUAAAGACGAGUUUUCCUAAUUACAAGUCCAGUACUUUAGAAACCGUGCCACCUAAGUUCCCGGUGUGUGUGUGUGUGUGUGUGUGUGUGUGUGUGUGUGUGUGUGUGUGUGUGUAGUUUUCACUACCAUGGUUCUACUCUUGCCAAUGAAGUAAAAUUAUACUAAAAGUGAAGAAUUGAGGAAGAAAGAAACCCCAUGCUAUCUCAACUCCCCCAACA